GGUGGCGAGCGGUAAGGGCCACAGGGUAAAUCCAGAGUGGCUCCUUCACCGGGGCUGGGAGGGUUAGGCAUGAACAGUUCUGAAAGCUUCAUACUCCCUGGAUGCCUUUCAAAAAAGAUGUGUUUAGGAAGCUGAACUGUUGGCGCCUUUUUGAAAUGAAGGAUCCAUUUCACGGAGCUUCAGAGAAUGUCCAGCCGCCAGCAGGACAUCCUCCCCUGGGUGUGAUGCAAAGUGAGAGGCGAGGUCACCCGUAAACAGUCCCCGCCGCACAGCCAGCGCUGUUUGAAACCCUCCGUCAUUCUAAACAGAAACAGAUGUUUGUGCCGCAGAGCUGUGCAGAAGUCGUUCUUCAAACAGUAGAUUAAAACAUCUGUCAGGAUAGCCUGGAGGGCCAGACCCACAGCGGCCACCCCAGCUGGGCCUGCCAAUCAUGGCCUUUCCAGGGGGAUAGGGGGUGGACAGAGGGACUGGAGGAAGCAGGGAGGUCCUGUCCUCUGCUAGUUCCUCUUGACCUCACUGCCAGGAUUCCGACGUCCCGCUGGCCUGUCCCCUCUCCUGCUGGCCUGUCCCCUGGCCUGCUCGUCCAUCUCCUGUCCUGCUGGCCCAUCCCCUGAACUGCUCGUCUGUCCCCUGGCCUGCUGGCCUUCUUGGAAGUGUUUUUUGUCCCCUCAGUGCCACUUGUUGCUGAGAUAGGGCAGCUGCUACUCCUGGCUGGUCUCUGUGUCCCUGGCAGGUGCAAGGACCCAGGGCCUUUCUUCUCCAGGCCAGCUGACCUCCUGGCAUCUCCAGAGGCUGCUAGCUGCACUUCACAUGUUGCCUUAUUAUCACUGAUAUCUUAGGACCACAUGAAGGGGGCAGUGAUGUCUGCUGUGGCCUGGCAUGAAGACCAAGACUUGGAGGAUUGGCAGACAGAAACCACGAGGACUUCCCAGCUGUCAGAGUCUCCAGAGAGGGAGGGAGCUUCUUCAGGACCAUGGAGCUGAGGCAGAGAGCGGAGACCUUGAUGGAGGGAGGAGCACUAGACCUGGAAACUUCCUUCGGGGAUGAGUGUUACUCCCUGGCCUGGAGCAAGAGAGCCGCCCUCUGAUGUGUUUGGAAAGGGAGGUGGCGGCACUGCUGGGGCGGAGGUGCGUGGGGUCACUGUGCUGCUGGGGACGCGGGGGCUUCUCUGGACUUGAUGGACCCUCCGCCUCCCGCGUCCUGUUAGAACUGUUCCUAGCAGCUCCAGUCUUCACACACUUGGAACAUCCCUUCCAGGGACUGCGUGCACCGGCAGGGUCACCUCUGGGCUCCAGGUGGCUGUGGGCCUUACAUGCAGGUCGACCUCUUGCCGCCCAGCAGGCUGCACAGUCCCAGCUCCCGUGUGCCUGAGCCCACAGGAUCACCCCAGCUGCCCCCGCACUGAACUCUGGACGCUGGGAGCUCAGAUGGGCAUCAACGUCACGCAUCCCCUCGGAGUCUAGGCCUCACGUUCCUGUUGCUGCUCCAGCUCUUCCAUGCCCCCAGCUCUUGCCCCCUCAGGCUGCACAUGUCUCCGGUGUGUCCCAAGGUCGGAAUCCCCAGGAGAACACAGGCCUUGCCGGCAAGGACAUCUGGGCAGUGCCUGGUCUGAGGGACCCCCGUGACUUACUGCUGCGUAACAACUGGCUAGGUGGAGGGCACAAGUCAAUGAGAGCCGGGACACAGGGCUGUGGGUGUGGGAGGAGCUGGGAAGAGCUGGGAGGACCGUGCGACCCCAGGUCCUGUCCCCGUGAAGGUG
This is a long non-coding RNA of Odocoileus virginianus texanus, 1759 nucleotides long. RefSeq lists it as uncharacterized. Lineage: Eukaryota; Metazoa; Chordata; Mammalia; Artiodactyla; Cervidae. The record is from RefSeq and is a predicted model, not a curated record.